Molecule: ribosomal RNA, 250 nt
Filed under: uncultured bacterium
Lineage: Bacteria
Description: partial 16S ribosomal RNA
Rfam family: Bacterial small subunit ribosomal RNA
Source: RNAcentral
GACGAACCGUGCGAACGUUGUUCGGAAUCACUGGGCUUAAAGGGCGCGUAGGCGGCUGACCAAGUCUGGGGUGAAAUCCUGCAGCUUAACUGUAGAAGUGCCUGGGAUACUGGUCGGCUCGAGGGAGGUAGGGGUCUGUGGAACUGCUGGUGGAGCGGUGAAAUGCGUUGAUAUCAGCAGGAACGCCGGUGGCGAAAGCGACGGACUGGAUCUCUUCUGACGCUGAGGCGCGAAAGCUAGGGGAGCAAAC